UACUCGCGGUCCAAGUCGCAACCAUUUUUAUUGGGUCUAAAACAUCCGUAGCUUGCUUAAUAAGUUUCUUGUGAAAUCUCAUAUCUCAAGUAUGAGGCGAGCAAGAAGUACUAUUAAGCUAGAGACUGGAAGACGUAAGAAGUAUGUUCAAAGUAGCAGUAAAAUGUUUUAAUCUUGGACAGACUCACAACAGCGAAGGCAUCUUACGAGGACAGUUCUGACAGUAAGGGAUGAAGGCCAGGGGCGCAAAACGG
Molecule: ribosomal RNA, 254 nt
Filed under: uncultured bacterium
Lineage: Bacteria
Description: partial 16S ribosomal RNA
Rfam family: Archaeal small subunit ribosomal RNA
Source: RNAcentral